Molecule: ribosomal RNA, 302 nt
Filed under: uncultured bacterium
Lineage: Bacteria
Description: partial 16S ribosomal RNA
Rfam family: Bacterial small subunit ribosomal RNA
Source: RNAcentral
GCAGUAGCCGCGGUAAUACGGAGGAUCCAAGCGUUAUCCGGAAUCAUUGGGUUUAAAGGGUCCGUAGGCGGUCUUGUAAGUCAGUGGUGAAAGCCCAUCGCUCAACGGUGGAACGGCCAUUGAUACUGCAGGACUUGAAUUAUUGGGAAGUAACUAGAAUAUGUAGUGUAGCGGUGAAAUGCUUAGAGAUUACAUGGAAUACCAAUUGCGAAGGCAGGUUACUACCAAUUGAUUGACGCUGAUGGACGAAAGCGUGGGUAGCGAACAGGAUUAGAUACCCCUGUAGUCCCUGUCUCUUAUAC